RNAcentral lists this unclassified non-coding RNA (329 nucleotides) under uncultured fungus. Its description in RNAcentral is "sequence contains ITS1". The stretch from base 1 to 103 matches the Rfam family "5.8S ribosomal RNA", at positions 50 to 154 of the family's 154-position model. The record is from RNAcentral. Lineage: Eukaryota; Fungi.
GAAGUGCGGUAAGCAUUGCGAAUUGCAGAACCGUGAGUCAUCAGAUUUUUGAACGCAACUGGCACCGCGGGGUCCUCCCUGCGGUAUGCUUUCUUCAGUGUGUUAUUAUCUCGUCACCCAAAGCAUAAUGCGAGAGAUGCCCUUCUCUUGUUAAGCUCGAAAGCACUCUGUCAUCGCCGUGGCACCCUCGGGCGCUACACUCAAUGCAGCAGUCACAUUUUUACAAUGUGAACUCAUUGAGAGCGAAGGCAGUACGGCUCGCCGUCAGUGCUUAGACAACCAAAUUUUUUCAUCAUCUGAAGUAAAGUAGGACCACCCGCUGAACUUAA